GACGAACGCUGGCGGCAUGCCUAACACAUGCAAGUCGAACGGUAAGGCUUCCUUCGGGAAGUACACGAGUGGCGAACGGGUGAGUAACACGUGGGUAAACUACCCUUGACUGGGGGACAACAGAGCGAAACUUCGGCUAAUACCGCAUAACGUGCAUUGCCGCAAGGUGGUGUACCAAAGCUCCGGCGGUUAAGGAUGGGACCGCGGCAGAUUAGCUUGUUGGUGAGGUAACGGCUGCCAAGGCGACGAUCUGUAGCUGGUCUGAGAGGACGAUCAGCCACACUGGAACUGAGACACGGUCCAGACUCCUACGGGAGGCAGCAGUGGGGAAUCUUGCGCAAUGGGCGAAAGCCUGACGCAGCAAUGCCGCGUGAGGGAAGACGGCCUUAGGGUUGUAAACCUCUUUCAGCAGGGACGAACACAGACGGUACCUGCAGAAGAAGCCCCGGCUAACUACGUGCCAGCCGCCGCGGUAA
Molecule: ribosomal RNA, 476 nt
Filed under: uncultured bacterium
Lineage: Bacteria
Description: partial 16S ribosomal RNA
Rfam family: Bacterial small subunit ribosomal RNA
Source: RNAcentral